GAUGAAGAACGUAGUGAAAUGCGAUAAGUAAUGUGAAUUGCAGAAUUCAGUGAAUCAUCGAAUCUUUGAACGCACCUUGCGCUCCUUGGUAUUCCAAGGAGCAUGCCUGUUUGAGUAUCAUUAAAUUAUCAACUGUGCCAAUUUGGUUACAGAUUGGAUGUGGGAGAUUCUUUUUGCAGGCCUUUGACUUCUCUUUGAGAAAAAAAAUAAAAGGUCGGCUCUCCUGAAAUGUAUUAGCAGUGCCUUUGUUGGUUCAUUAGGUGUGAUAAAUUGUCUACAUCUUCGCAUGAUACCUUCAUUUGUAAAGGUCAUAUUGCUUCUAAAUUGUCUUUGAUUGGACGCAAAACAUAUAUAAUGUUUGACAAACUUGAUCUCAAAUCAGGCAGGACUACCCGCUGAACUUAAGCAUAUCAAUAAGCGGAGA
This 424-nucleotide unclassified non-coding RNA is filed under the name soil metagenome. RNAcentral describes it as "partial contains 5.8S ribosomal RNA, internal transcribed spacer 2, and large subunit ribosomal RNA". The stretch from base 1 to 120 matches the Rfam family "5.8S ribosomal RNA", at positions 35 to 154 of the family's 154-position model. The record is from RNAcentral.